CAACCACUAUGGCCCCUGAGCGGACCUUCAGGCCUGGUGGGCUGUGCUCUGUGCCCGCAAACUUGACGCCAUCCAGGGGAGCUCCGCCUUCCCGCGCCAGCGCCUCAGCUGCUGCAGAAAACUGCAAAACUGCAAGUUGCACACGGGCAGAGAUGACGGAGCAACCCCCGACCCUCCGCGCCACUCACCCUACCUGCACACCUGCCGCGCGGACCCUGGGGCGGGUGCCUGGGCGCCCAAGUCAGGCAGUCCGCAGAGCAGUGGCACCAGGGUGAAAACCUGCUGCUCGGUACCAUCCCGGUUACCACGAAGAGCCAGUCCCGGCGGCCCCUGCGUUCUUGAAGGAGGACAAGUCAGAGCAACCUCUCAAGUGGGAGGGCGAUGCACUUGACCCUGAGGACAUCAGGUACCAGGCCCGCCAGCUCACGCCGGCAUCGGAGCCGCAGCUGCAGUCUAGACGUGGUGCACCGGCAGCAAGUGACUGGACACUCCAGACCAGGCCCGCCCCGCAGUAGCGUGGAUCCUGAGGCCAGACCCCCAGGCAGCAAAAUCAGGCAACCGGCCCCGCCAGCAGCCGCUGUUUCAUCCGUGUGGACACAGAGUGCCCAGCGCCAGGGCCCAGGAUCCAGAAAGAUGUCCAAGAGGAGCGGACCUUGAGGCCAGGUGGGCUGUGCGCUCUGCGGCCCUGAGGCCAUCCAAAGGAAGCUCCGCCAUCCUGCGCCAGUGCCAGAUCUGCAGCUGCAAACCGCGCGUGUGGCACUGGCAGCAGUGAGGGCGGGUGGGGGAAGGAGCAGCCCCUGACUCUGCCUCCAUCCCUCUCCAGCUACCUGACACUAGCCACACAGACUUCAGGGCCAGAGCCUCAGCGUUCAGCCAAUCCGCGAAGCCACUCAGGUGGCCGCGGAGUGCCCUUGCCAGCACCGUAUCUCCCUUCCGAGGAGGAGCGGGGCGGGCUGCAAGGCCAGACAGGCCCUCCUUCUCAGGCCGGGCUGGCUGCGCGCCUGCGAUCCUGGGGCCGCCCGGGCGAUCCCAGGAGAACCGGCGAGCCCAUCGGCGCACGCCCAGAGCUGCAGCCCCACCUGCUGGCGCGCGCCGCUAGGGAGCGUCUUCCGGGAGCCCGGCAGCAACCGCGGUGCAGGCGCGCGCCGCCAGGGAGCGUCUUCUGGGAGCCCGGCAGCAACUGCCGUGCAGGCGCGCGCCCAACGGCUUUGCGAGGCUCACUCGGUCUGAGAGGUCGGAGGCUGCGAGUGUCGCUGCUGAAGGCUGUGGUGGACCGGGCUGGAUCGCGGAUUGUGGAGUAGAUUAUAGAUUUGAAAUAGCGGAG
This 1324-nucleotide long non-coding RNA is filed under the name Homo sapiens (human). Its description in RNAcentral is "long non-coding RNA NONHSAT219561.1". The record is from RNAcentral. Lineage: Eukaryota; Metazoa; Chordata; Mammalia; Primates; Hominidae.